GAUGAACGCUGGCUACAGGCUUAACACAUGCAAGUCGAGGGGAAACGACGGGGAAGCUUGCUUCCCCGGGCGUCGACCGGCGCACGGGUGAGUAACGCGUAUCCAACCUGCCUCUGACUGAGGGAUAACCCGUCGAAAGUCGGCCUAAUACCUCAUGGUAUCGUCUGCGGGCAUCCAACGACGAUUAAAGAUUUCAUCGGUCAGGGAUGGGGAUGCGUCUGAUUAGCUUGUUGGCGGGGUAACGGCCCACCAAGGCUACGAUCAGUAGGGGUUCUGAGAGGAAGGUCCCCCACAUUGGAACUGAGACACGGUCCAAACUCCUACGGGAGGCAGCAGUGAGGAAUAUUGGUCAAUGGGCGAGAGCCUGAACCAGCCAAGUAGCGUGCAGGAAGACGGCCCUAUGGGCUGUAAACUGCUUUUAUGCGGGGAUAAAGUGAGGGACGUGUCCCUCAUUGCAGGUACCGCAUGAAUAAGGACCGGCUAAUUCCGUG
Molecule: ribosomal RNA, 491 nt
Filed under: uncultured bacterium
Lineage: Bacteria
Description: partial 16S ribosomal RNA
Rfam family: Bacterial small subunit ribosomal RNA
Source: RNAcentral